RNAcentral lists this small RNA (1279 nucleotides) under Rattus norvegicus (Norway rat). RNAcentral describes it as "uncharacterized LOC108349241". Lineage: Eukaryota; Metazoa; Chordata; Mammalia; Rodentia; Muridae. The record is from RNAcentral.
AUGACGCCACAGCGGUGCGUGUUGCUGUUUCCGGUCUGUUGGCCGCUGGAUUUGUUUUGUUUUGUUUUGGGUUAGGGAUCCGCGAGAAACGAGGAUGGACCGUAAAGGAUGAAGCAAACGUACAGCAUUCAGCUCUGCUACCACAAAUAUGAUUGCCUUAAAGAAGACUGAAAUUGUGUCCUGUGCAGGCCUGACUGUUUUCACUUCAUACAAGUUUCUUCUCUGCUGUUGCAAAUGGAUGACGAGUUUCCUUCCUUUGGUGUGGCAGGCUACCUGAUCUUCACCUAUCCAGAGGAGUUUUGAUUUGAUGGAGCCCCUUAGAUUGGUGUAUGCACUUAUUCCUUUUACGAUCUCAAGCAUGGUAACAAGGAUAGUGACCUUAAGGACUGCCAUCCAGCAUUUGCCUUACUGCCUGACCGGGCCACUCUGGUGCUCUUCCCCUUCGCCGCCCUCAGCUGUUAACAGCUAGCCAUCCUUCUUGGCCUAACAUCUUUCACUUGGAUGCAUUUGUCCAUCACUCUCUUGCUGCUUUGCGUUAUCAGCUCAGCCUGCACUAUUAAAUAUAGGUAAGAAGAGACCACUUCAGAGAAGUUGUUUGUUGGGCCUGAUGUUACGACAUCAUAAGAAAGCAUAGGAGAAUUUAUCUUAAGCUUUCAACCUUCCUAAUGCUGAGACCCUUUCAUACAGUUACUCAUGUUGUGGUGACCCCAACCAUAAAAUUAUUUUCAUGACUAAUUUGCUACUGUUUGGAUUGGAAUGUAAAUAUGUAAAUAUGCGGACUAUCUAAUAUGUGGCCCCAAAGGGGUUGGGACCCACAGGUUUGGAACUGCUGGUGGAAGCUGACUCAGUGAGACCAAGCAACCUGUUUCCACAUACAGAGCCGUUGCUGCUCAGUUUGGACCAUUCAUAGCCAGAACUUAAAACUAGGGACAGAAAGAAGUCCCCUUUCUUCAUAUUUGUGUGUACUUCAGUUUUGCAAAGAACUCAUUUCAUAUCAGGGAAUUGUGUACCUAACAGAAAAUUUUAAUUCGGAAUUACACAACCUAGUGCUUUACAAACCAGAAAAUCAGUACUAUUGCAAGCAUUCUAAGUCAGUGAUUCUCAAAUUCUCCAUGUUUCUACAAAGCCAGUUAAAGCAUCGGCCACUGGGUUCCCUACAGACAGAAAGGCUAAUACUACUAAGUUUAGGAUCAUACUAAGAAAUAUUAUCUAAACCAACAGGAGCUAAGCUAUUUGUUUUCUUGAUAUUCAGUUUCUUGAGUUUUUAAUGUAUUUUGGA